RNAcentral lists this ribosomal RNA (254 nucleotides) under uncultured bacterium. RNAcentral's name for it is "partial 16S ribosomal RNA". It matches the Rfam family "Bacterial small subunit ribosomal RNA", at positions 524 to 776 of the family's 1533-position model. The record is from RNAcentral.
UACGUAGGGUGCAAGCGUUGUCCGGAUUUAUUGGGCGUAAAAGGCUUGUAGGUGGCCACGCCAAGUCGGAUGUGAAAUCUCCCGGCUCAACUGGGAGGGGUCAUUCGAUACUGGCGGGCUCGAGGCCGGUAGGGGGAAGUGGAAUUCCCGGUGUAGUGGUGGAAUGCGUAGAUAUCGAGAGGAACACCUGCGGCGAAGGCGGGUUGCUGGGCCGACACUGACGCUGAUGCGCGAAAGCCAGGGGAGCGAACGGG